RNAcentral lists this long non-coding RNA (254 nucleotides) under Hordeum vulgare. RNAcentral describes it as "long non-coding RNA (HVUL_LNC017042)". Lineage: Eukaryota; Viridiplantae; Streptophyta; Magnoliopsida; Poales; Poaceae. The record is from RNAcentral.
CCCAACGACCUGAUAAGAACUGAAUGUAACGGGUUGUCCUGCAGUCUGUCCUGAGUAAACGUUGUGUUUACUCCUUCAAAUAAUCUCUACUAUUAAAGCAGGAUCGAACGUCGUGAUGGUUCAACCUAGCGAUGGUUCGACCUCUCCCAACGAUCCCACCUCCUUGUACGACCCUGCACAUAAAAAAAAAAACACACCCACGAACGCACGAUCCCCUCCUGCGAUGCUCCCAACUGAGCCUCCUGGAUCUCCGC